CCUACGGGAGGCAGCAGUAAGGAAUCUUCCACAAUGGACGAGAAUCUGAUGGAGCAACGCCGCGUGAGUGAAGAAUGGUUUCGGCUCGUAAAGCCCUGUUGGUCGUGGAGAAAGAUAGAGGUAGUAACUGGCCUUUAUUUGACGGUAAUUACUUAGAAAGUCACGCCUAACUACGUGCCAGCAGCCGCGGUAAUACGUAGGUGGCAUGCCUUGUCCGGUUUUAUUGGGCGUAAAGCGAGGGCAGGCGGUUCAAUAAGUCUGAUGUGAAAGCCGUCGGCUCAACCGGAGAAUUGCAUCAGAAACUGUUGAACUUGAGUGCAGAAGAGGAGAGUGGAACUCCAUGUGUAGCGGUGGAAUGCGUAGAUAUAUGGCAGAACACCAGUGGCGAAGGCGGCUCUCUGGUCUGCAACUGACGCUGAGGCUCGAAAGCAUGGGUAGCGAACAGGAUUAGAUACCCCAGUAGUC
Molecule: ribosomal RNA, 465 nt
Filed under: uncultured bacterium
Lineage: Bacteria
Description: partial 16S ribosomal RNA
Rfam family: Bacterial small subunit ribosomal RNA
Source: RNAcentral